Molecule: transfer RNA, 71 nt
Filed under: Marmota monax (woodchuck)
Lineage: Eukaryota; Metazoa; Chordata; Mammalia; Rodentia; Sciuridae
Rfam family: tRNA
About the family: Transfer RNA (tRNA) molecules are approximately 80 nucleotides in length.
Source: Rfam by way of RNAcentral
GUGGUUGUGGCUCAGAGGUAGAGCGCAUCCCUAGCAUGCAUGAGGCACUGAGUUUGAUCCUCAGCACCACA